GCUGCUAAUGGCCUCUGGCAGAUUCAGCAGAAGGAGGAUCAUCUGCUUCCGGGGUGGGGGGGGGCAGUUGACUGUGCCUUAUUGAAACUGCAGAUAAAGGGAAGCCACUGUACUCAACUUCUAGCCUAUUGUUCUAAACUCAGAAGAAAGAUAAAUAAAAUUGUAAGACCUUUCUUUUGGACUGCUUUUGCUGUUAUUAAAGUUUGUGCACAAAGAUCACAUAGAGCGGGUUGGUGGAUCUUGGUGAGUAAGCAGGAAUGUUUUACCUGGAGCCUCAUAUCUAAGCAGCUAUAUAGCAGGGUUCCUUUGGAGUCAAUCCAGCCCACCACUACCUUCUUUCUCCCACACACCCUCCUGCCCGCCCCCCCAGGCUCCACCCCCAUCCACUCCACACAGUCUUUUGCUGUUGAAGGCCCCCUGCUUUCCCUGGUGUAUUCUCUUGGUCAGGACUUCCAUAAGGCUCCAGACAGUGCUGGAGGUAUUCCUGCUCAACAGGAAAUACUCAGGAAUCCUUGGCCUCCAUAUUCCCAAGACAGCAGCAGCAAGUGCCUGACUCCACUCCUGGUUAGUGAACCUACCCCUCACCAUCUUCAUUUCCCAGGAAGGUUCAGACCCCAUUCCAAACAUGCCCUAACUUCAGCAAACACAUGGAGCUCUCAGAGUCCACUGAAGCUCCUCUCCCUGGCCUUGGGCAGGCAAGGAGCAAGUGUGGAGACAGGGCAUGGUGUGAAUGUCCCUCUUCUCACUAUCCUCUGUUACCCCAUUUUUUGUGUGUUUUUUUAGGUAUUCUACUACAUAUAACAUAAGAUACACCUUUUUUAGGUACACAGUUCAAUUACAUUCAUGUUGUUGUGCAACCAUCACUACCAUCAACCUCCAGAAUUUUUUCAUCUUCCCCAACUGGAACUUAGUUCCCAUGAAACAAAAACAGUAACUCCCUAACCCCCUACACUCAACCCCUGGCGACCACCAUUCUAUUUUCUGUUUCUAUGAAUUUGACUCCUCCAGACAUCUCUUAUAAGUGGUGUCAUACAGUAUUUGCCCUUUGUGCCUGGCUUAUUUCUCUCAGCAUAAUAUCUUCCAGGUUCAUCUGUGUUGUAGCAUGGGUCAGAGUUUCCUUCCUUUUUAAGGCUGAAAAAUAUUUCACUGCACAGUUAGACCACAACUUUUUAUCUGUUCAUAUAUUGAUGGACACUUGGGUUGCUUCCACCUUUUGGCUAUUAUGAAUAAUGUUGCUAUGAACAGAAGUAUACAAGUGUCUCCUCUGAUUCUUUUAUAACCUUGAUCUUUUCUAAAUUUUGCCUAUGUCAGACUCAAUCUCAUAUUUAUUUUGGUAUUUGAUGUCCAUUACAUUAGUGCCUCAAUCGAAAUUUAGACAGGAAGAAACCCAUCUUAACAUUCUGUUAGAAGAACACCCGAAGAUAACCUUAGGCCCUAUCUAAAUUUCUGUAACUUUAAUUAUACCAAGUAGGUCUUGUGUCUCAGGGUUUUCCCCCAGAAACUCCUGCCUUCAUUUUCUAGUGAAGGUUUCAAAUCAGACUGCUUCAAAUAAGGACCUCAACAAUAUAAUCCAAAUGUUAAUAUAGAGUGAACACAUGACUGGGCAAUUUCCCUCCUAAGUAUACACCUGGGAAAAAAAGAAAACACCUCCACAAAAAAACUUGUAGACAAAUAUUCAUAGCAGCUUUAUUCAGAAUAGCUGAAAAUAGGAAACAACGAAAAUGUUUGUCAACUGAUCAACGGUUGGACAAAACGUGCUACAUCCAGGCAAUGAAAUACUACUCAGCAAUAAAGACAAUGAAGUAGUGAUACAAGCUAUGAUAUAGAUGGACAUCAAAAACAUUAUACUAAGAAAAGAAGACUAAUGAAAAAUCCAACAUAUUGUAGAUUUCCAUUUAUAUGAAAUGUCUAGAAAAGCCAAAUCCAUGGAGGCAGAAAGCAAAUUAGUGGUUGCCAGGGCUAGGCAGUGAGAACAGGGGAUGGCCAUAAAUGAGACACAAGCUUCUUUCCAGGGUGAUGAAAACAUUCUAAAAUUAGAUUGUGGUGAUGACUGCACAGUUCUCUAAUUUCACUAAAAAUCAUUUACUUAAAAUGAGUGAAUUCUGUGAUAUAUCAAUUAUAUCUUAAUAAAGCUGUCUUUUAAAAAGAUUCAAAUCUUUUUGAUUUGAAUAAACUAUCUGUUAUAGUGACGUUCUAACAAUUAGGCUACAGGAUUCUUUGCUUUUGCUUAUGUAUUUUUUUAACUUUCUUCAUUGAACAUCUGACUUUCCUAACAACAAAUGUUGUGUGUAUAUUUUAAAUUAAAAGUAUGAGUAGGAGCACCUGGCUGGCUUGGUCAGUAGAGCAUGCAACUCUUAAUUUUGGAGUCAUGAGUUCAAGCCCCUUGUUGAAUGUAGAGAUUACUUUUUAAAAUUGAAAAUAUAAAAUAUUGAACAAAAUUGAAAGCAUGAGUGAAUUUAUUUAUUUACUUUUUGACUUGCUUACUUACUAUAUAGUAGUGGGGGAGGCUUUUCAAAUAAGACAGAAAACUCACGAGACUAAAGGCACUCUGCCAAAUUUGCCACAUAAAAUGUUAAAAUUUCUCUGUCAGAAAAACCAAACCAAAACCAAUAAUCAAACACGAAGUUAAAACAUAGAAGAUAAAUUGGGGAAAACAGUUACAAACACAAUGACAGACAAAAGAUAAUUUCCUUUAUUUAACAAGUGUAGCCAAAUCAGUAAGAAAAAAGUUGAACACAAUGGAAAAAUAAGCGAAGAAUAUGAACAAGUAAUUCACAGAAGAAAUAACUGCCAUUUCUACAUAUAAAAAGAUGUUAAAUCUCAUUCACAUUUCAGUGAGGGUAUCAAUUUGUGCAACCUUUUAAGGUGCAAUUUGAUAUAAUCUACCUACUACUAUUAAAUCUACUUUUAAAUAAUAAAAUAUUAUUUUAUUUUUUACUUUUUUAAAGUGUGGUUCUGUAUAUGUAUGACUUAGUGCUUCUACACCUAGGACUUUUCCCUAUAGAAUAUUCCGGCAAAGAUAUUACCAGACAGAUGUGAGUGUAUGGUCUUUGCAUUGCUGUGCUAGUGAAAUACUAGAAACCUAAAUGUCCAUGAGUAGGAACCAAGCUAAAUAAAUCAUAGUAUCUUACCAAUGGAUCCUACACACCUUUAAAAAGUAUUAGAUCUAGAUGUGCCAAUGUAGAAAUAGCCCUAAGAAAGAUGG
This 3205-nucleotide long non-coding RNA is filed under the name Canis lupus familiaris (dog). RNAcentral describes it as "lncRNA (ENSCAFG00040003035.1)". The record is from RNAcentral. Lineage: Eukaryota; Metazoa; Chordata; Mammalia; Carnivora; Canidae.